Molecule: transfer RNA, 74 nt
Filed under: Candidatus Dojkabacteria bacterium HGW-Dojkabacteria-1
Lineage: Bacteria
Also listed under: 2 other names
Description: tRNA-Gly
Rfam family: tRNA
About the family: Transfer RNA (tRNA) molecules are approximately 80 nucleotides in length. Their secondary structure includes four short double-helical elements and three loops (D, anti-codon, and T loops).
Source: RNAcentral
GCGAGAGUAGUUCAGUUGGCUAGAAUGUCUCCUUCCCAAGGAGAAGGUCGCGGGUUCGAAUCCCGUCUCUCGCU